UGUGAUUGCAUUAUGAAAAUUCU
This 23-nucleotide microRNA is filed under the name Callithrix jacchus (white-tufted-ear marmoset). RNAcentral describes it as "cja-miR-3118". The record is from miRBase by way of RNAcentral. Lineage: Eukaryota; Metazoa; Chordata; Mammalia; Primates; Cebidae.